RNAcentral lists this non-coding RNA (109 nucleotides) under uncultured Mitsuokella sp. RNAcentral describes it as "FMN riboswitch (RFN element)". It matches the Rfam family "FMN riboswitch aptamer (RFN element)". From Rfam's summary of the family: The RFN element is a highly conserved domain that is found frequently in the 5'-untranslated regions of prokaryotic mRNAs that encode for flavin mononucleotide (FMN) biosynthesis and transport proteins. This element is a metabolite-dependent riboswitch that directly binds FMN in the absence of proteins. The record is from RNAcentral. Lineage: Bacteria; Bacillati; Bacillota; Negativicutes; Selenomonadales; Selenomonadaceae.
UUGUCUUUGGGGCGGGGAGUAUUUCCUCACCGGCGGUAUAGCCCGCGAGCCUUUUGGCAGGAUUCGGUGAAAUUCCGAAGCCGACCGUAUAGUCGGGAUGAGAAAAGAC